RNAcentral lists this signal recognition particle RNA (284 nucleotides) under Cebus imitator (Panamanian white-faced capuchin). Its description in RNAcentral is "Metazoan signal recognition particle RNA (ENSCCAG00000008330.1)". It matches the Rfam family "Metazoan signal recognition particle RNA". From Rfam's summary of the family: The signal recognition particle (SRP) is a universally conserved ribonucleoprotein. Lineage: Eukaryota; Metazoa; Chordata; Mammalia; Primates; Cebidae. The record is from RNAcentral.
GCCAGGCGCAGUGGUCCAUGCCUGUAGUCCCAGCAACUGGGGAGGCUGAGGUGGGAGGAUCGCUCGAGCCCAGGAGUUCUGGGCUGUAGUGCGCUAUGCGAUCGGGUGUCUGCACUAAGUUCGGCAUCAAUAUGGUGACCUCCUGGGAGCGGGGGAACACCAUGUUGCCUAAGGAGGGGUCGGAAAUGGAGCAGGUCAAAACUCCCGUGCUGAUCAGUAGUGGGAUCGAGAGUGUGAAUAGCCACUGCACUCCAGCCUGGGCAACAUAGCGAGACCCUGUCUCU